This is a long non-coding RNA of Cucurbita maxima (winter squash), 790 nucleotides long. RefSeq lists it as uncharacterized. The record is from RefSeq and is a predicted model, not a curated record. The transcript is spliced from 2 exons. Lineage: Eukaryota; Viridiplantae; Streptophyta; Magnoliopsida; Cucurbitales; Cucurbitaceae.
AUUACCCAAAAUUAAAUUAUUUGGAGUUUUUGAAAUUUUCAAUGUCGAUCCAAGUAUCUAGUUGGGACGAAGUAGAUCUAAAAGAAAAGAAAUACAUUCCAAAAACAACAUGGAGAGAAGAUCGAGACAAGCAUGUUAAGAAACUGGACAUCGAAUUUCCCGGUUUUAUGACAAAUCAGCUGCAAAUCAUGUUGGAUGUACCAACAAAUAAAGUUAGAGUUAUGUCAAUGAAAACAAUCGGAUACAAUGUCAUUCGUGUCAACGAAUCCAUAAAAAUUCCGAACGACUGCGCACUAGACGGUGUCUACGCAAUAUUUUCUAAUGACAUUCUUACCAUUACAUUUCCGAUGAAAACAAUAGGUUAGUGUUCAUCUAAAUCGAGAUUUACUAUCUUAAUGAAUAAAUACCAACUUCCUAUAUAUGUAUACACACACAUAUACACGCGCACGAGUUGGAAGUCUAUUAAUAUGUAUAAUUUUUAUUAAAUUUGAUUAUGUUAUGGUCGGUGAUAUGUGAGAACUUCGAGUAAUAUGGAGUACGUGGAAUUUCGUGUGAAUCAUUAAGAGCCAUCUUGCAAAGCUUCUGGGUGACCGAUGGUCUUCCAAGCAGUACGAAGAGGCAAGGACUCUGACCGUGUGGCUGUUGAAGAAUGAGUCGGUGACUUAUAAGCAGUGGCUCAGUUAAGGAAACUAUAUAUAUAUAUAUAUUGUAAAUGUCUUCUCGGUUAAACAGUGGGUCGUUUUGAGUUACUUUUACGAGUUUGUAAAAAUAAUUUUUAUUUUUAUUUUUA